Molecule: long non-coding RNA, 695 nt
Organism: Solea senegalensis (Senegalese sole)
Lineage: Eukaryota; Metazoa; Chordata; Actinopteri; Pleuronectiformes; Soleidae
Exons: 2
Source: RefSeq, a predicted model, not a curated record
GUGCACCACAUUGUCUCUGGGUGUUCAUAUGGCUUCCGGUGCUUCAGGUACAUAGACACUUUCAGGAGUUGAUUUAAGUAUUUCACGUUAUUAAUGUGGAUGUGGAGGAUGUUACAGUUAAAUGUUAAAUAUGAAGUACAAGUGUAGUGCUGUAAAUCAUCCACUUUAUCAAGUCCGAAAGGGUUGUAGAAGUAAUUCAGUACUUCAGCAGCUAGAUAUGUUUGUAAUAGCAUGCUGAAGCCAGGUCAUCCUUAAGGGUACAACUUACCCACAAUGUUCACUGUGUGCUGCCAUUCAUCCCGAAAGAAGAGCAUGUUAUGAGCUUUCAUGGUGAACUUGUAUUCUUACAUUGCCAGGCAUCUCUGAUGCAAUAGAAAACCACAGGAGCUUUACAACAUUUAAAUACCUUUUGACACAUCAAGAGUAGCCUCCAAUUCUAAACUGAUAGAUUUUAUUGUUUAUGUUAUUCACAUUGAUGUAAUAGUCAGCAUAUUAUUUAAUCAUGAUCACAUAUUUUAUAUCUUUUCCAGUAAUAGAUGACAUUGUGAAAGAAGGCUGUCCUGCUCCCAGUGCAGUGCUGAAACGGAAAAGGAAAGAGAGUCCAGUCAGCACACAGUCAUAGAGGAGUAAAACGUAUUCACACCGACCCGAGAGGAUAAAAUCCUAAUGAAAUAAAUGAACACUUGAUUAAUGUA